AUGCGUCGGGCCGGAUGUCUAGGCCGUGGGCCGGAUGUCUGGGCCGUGGGUCGGAUGUCCGGGCCAUGUAGCUUGUCCGCUGCUGGUGACACCUCUAGGGGCCGGACAUCUGGGGUCUUGGGCCAGAUGUUCUAG
This 135-nucleotide ribosomal RNA is filed under the name Triticum aestivum (bread wheat). RNAcentral describes it as "partial small subunit ribosomal RNA". Lineage: Eukaryota; Viridiplantae; Streptophyta; Magnoliopsida; Poales; Poaceae. The record is from RNAcentral.